AAUAGAUACCCAGGUAGUCCACGCCGUAAACGAUGGAUGCUAGCUGUUAUGAGUAUCGACCCUUGUAGUAGCGUAGCUAACGCGUUAAGCAUCCCGCCUGUGGAGUACGGUCGCAAGACUAAAACAUAAAGGAAUUGACGGGGACCCGCACAAGCGGUGGAGCGUGUUGUUUAAUUCGAUGGUAAGCGAAGAACCUUACCCAGGCUUGACAUCCUGCUAAUCACUCCGAAAGGAGAGAGUGCCUUCGGGCCGCAGUGACAGGUGUUGCAUGGCCGUCGUCAGCUCGUGUCGUGAGAUGUUUGGUUAAGUCCAUCAACGAGCGCAACCCUUAUAGUUAGUUGUAUUUCUCUAGCUAGACUGCCCUGGCAACAGGGAGGAAGGAGGGGAUGAUGUCAGGUCAGUAUUACCCUUACGCCUGGGGCUACAAACACGCUACAAUGGCCGGUACAAAGGGCAGCCAACCCGCGAGGGGGAGCAAAUCCCAUCAAAGCCGGUCUCAGUUCGGAUUGCAGGCUGAAACUCG
This 523-nucleotide ribosomal RNA is filed under the name uncultured bacterium. Its description in RNAcentral is "bacterial SSU rRNA". It matches the Rfam family "Bacterial small subunit ribosomal RNA", at positions 777 to 1314 of the family's 1533-position model. The record is from RNAcentral.